This 76-nucleotide transfer RNA is filed under the name bacterium. RNAcentral describes it as "tRNA-Asn". It matches the Rfam family "tRNA". Rfam says of the family: Transfer RNA (tRNA) molecules are approximately 80 nucleotides in length. RNAcentral also lists the same sequence under 2 other names. The record is from RNAcentral.
UCCUGAGUAGCUCAAUUGGCAGAGCAUCCGGCUGUUAACCGGAGGGUUGUAGGUUCAAGUCCUACCUCAGGAGCCA